GUGAGGAAUAUUGGACAAUGGGCGAGAGCCUGAUCCAGCCAUGCCGCGUGCAGGAAGAAGGCCCUAUGGGUUGUAAACUGCUUUUUUACGGGAAGAAACACCCCCUCGUGAGGGGGCUUGACGGUACCGUACGAAUAAGGACCGGCUAACUCCGUGCCAGCAGCCGCGGUAAUACGGAGGGUCCGAGCGUUAUCCGGAAUCAUUGGGUUUAAAGGGUCCGUAGGCGGGCGUCUAAGUCAGUGGUGAAAUUCUGCAGCUCAACUGUAGAACUGCCAUUGAUACUGGUCGCCUUGAAUCGUUGUGAAGUGGCUAGAAUAUGUAGUGUAGCGGUGAAAUGCUUAGAUAUUACAUAGAAUACCGAUUGCGAAGGCAGGUCACUAACAACGUAUUGACGCUGAUGGACGAAAGCGUGGGGAGCGAACAGGAUUAGAUACCCUAGUAGUCC
This 445-nucleotide ribosomal RNA is filed under the name uncultured bacterium. Its description in RNAcentral is "bacterial SSU rRNA". It matches the Rfam family "Bacterial small subunit ribosomal RNA", at positions 354 to 796 of the family's 1533-position model. The record is from RNAcentral.